UAUAGACUAUACUGAAAUAAAAUUACAACAAUGGAUGAUACUGUUACUAUUAGUUCUUGUACAACAACUGUUACUAUUAGUUACUAUUAGUUACUAUUAGUUCUUGUACUACUAGCUUAAUCUUCGCAUUGAACUGUUUUUUUAACAUUCUCAUCUAUGCUACGUUGCUUUUGGUUUUAUCUCCAACCAUCAUUCCUGCAUGUGUACACUGCAUCCAAGAAUCAGAGAUCAAAUCAGUCGAAAUGUAGUAUAGAUGUAAAUAUUAAAGUUUUUUUUUUCUCUUUUUUUUUUCUCUCUCCAAAGAUGAAGUUACUAGUUUGAAAAGUUAUAUAGUGUUGGAUAAUAACUGUAGUUGAAACACAAGCACAUACAAUCACUUCCUUGUACUUCAGAAGUUUUAAAGAAAUUCUAUUUUAUUUUCCAUAUGGAUACAUUGAGUGUACUUUUACCAUCUUUGCUGUUGGUGCUUGUCUUGAUUUCCAUUUAGUUCCAGUUCCUUACUCAAAAAGCAUUGCAAAAACAUUGUUAAAAACUAUUAGUUUUUUUUUUUUGUUUUAUUUUUGUCUCCCAACAGCUUUUUCUGUUUCUCAUCAUAACAACUUUUUUUCUUUUUUUUUUUUUUUUCUUUCAGAACAUUUUUCACUUCUGUUAUGGCUCAGCCUUGACAUUAAAUGCUGUAAAUAAUACUUAAAAUAUUUCUUUUCUAAAAGAAAAGAGAGAAAUAAAAAAAAUUUUAAAAAUCAUACAUAAAGAAACUAAAACUAAUAAAUAAUAAUGAUAUACAGAAAUAUAUUAAAAAAAAAAAAAAAAUUGAGAUUAAUAAAUUUUAUGGAUAAAUGAAAAUAUUCAUCUCCUGAAACAAUUAUGGAAUUUUAAAUAUGGAAACUCAAUUCUGAAACAAUCAAUCAUUUAUUUUUAUUUUAUUAUAAUAAUAAUUAUUAUUAUUAUUAUUUUGACAUCUUAUUCUUAUUUUUAAUUAGAAUUAUCACUUUUUUUUUCUUUGUUCAACGCCUCUCAAGUUUUGAUGUACAAUGCAGUGUCAAGUGUAAAUAGACUGCUUCCAUCUAACCAAAUGCUUGUGUGUUUUGGAAACAUGUGAAUAAAAUGUCAAACUACUUUGUUACAUAUUAAC
RNAcentral lists this long non-coding RNA (1132 nucleotides) under Octopus vulgaris (common octopus). The record is from RNAcentral. Lineage: Eukaryota; Metazoa; Mollusca; Cephalopoda; Octopoda; Octopodidae.